This 2439-nucleotide ribosomal RNA is filed under the name Salmonella enterica subsp. enterica serovar Rissen. RNAcentral's name for it is "23S ribosomal RNA". It matches the Rfam family "Bacterial large subunit ribosomal RNA". RNAcentral also lists the same sequence under 11 other names. The record is from RNAcentral. Lineage: Bacteria; Pseudomonadati; Pseudomonadota; Gammaproteobacteria; Enterobacterales; Enterobacteriaceae.
GGUUAAGCGACUAAGCGUACACGGUGGAUGCCCUGGCAGUCAGAGGCGAUGAAGGGCGUGCUAAUCUGCGAUAAGCGCCGGUAAGGUGAUAUGAACCGUUAUAACCGGCGAUACCCGAAUGGGGAAACCCAGUGUGACUCGUCACACUAUCAUUAACUGAAUCCAUAGGUUAAUGAGGCGAACCGGGGGAACUGAAACAUCUAAGUACCCCGAGGAAAAGAAAUCAACCGAGAUUCCCCCAGUAGCGGCGAGCGAACGGGGAGGAGCCCAGAGCCUGAAUCAGCAUGUGUGUUAGUGGAAGCGUCUGGAAAGGCGCGCGAUACAGGGUGACAGCCCCGUACACAAAAGCGCAUGUGCUGUGAGCUCGAUGAGUAGGGCGGGACACGUGGUAUCCUGUCUGAAUAUGGGGGGACCAUCCUCCAAGGCUAAAUACUCCUGACUGACCGAUAGUGAACCAGUACCGUGAGGGAAAGGCGAAAAGAACCCCGGCGAGGGGAGUGAAAAAGAACCUGAAACCGUGUACGUACAAGCAGUGGGAGCACAGGUUUACCUGUGUGACUGCGUACCUUUUGUAUAAUGGGUCAGCGACUUAUAUUCUGUAGCAAGGUUAACCGUAUAGGGGAGCCGGAGGGAAACCGAGUCUUAACCGGGCGUUAAGUUGCAGGGUAUAGACCCGAAACCCGGUGAUCUAGCCAUGGGCAGGUUGAAGGUUGGGUAACACUAACUGGAGGACCGAACCGACUAAUGUUGAAAAAUUAGCGGAUGACCUGUGGCUGGGGGUGAAAGGCCAAUCAAACCGGGAGAUAGCUGGUUCUCCCCGAAAGCUAUUUAGGUAGCGCCUCGUGAAUUCAUCUCCGGGGGUAGAGCACUGUUUCGGCUAGGGGGCCAUCCCGGCUUACCAACCCGAUGCAAACUGCGAAUACCGGAGAAUGUUAUCACGGGAGACACACGGCGGGUGCUAACGUCCGUCGUGAAGAGGGAAACAACCCAGACCGCCAGCUAAGGUCCCAAAGUCAUGGUUAAGUGGGAAACGAUGUGGGAAGGCCCAGACAGCCAGGAUGUUGGCUUAGAAGCAGCCAUCAUUUAAAGAAAGCGUAAUAGCUCACUGGUCGAGUCGGCCUGCGCGGAAGAUGUAACGGGGCUAAACCAUGCACCGAAGCUGCGGCAGCGANNNNNNNNNNNNNNNNNNNNNNNNNNNNNNNNNNNNNNNNNNNNNNNNNNNNNNNNNNNNNNNNNNNNNNNNNNNNNNNNNNNNNNNNNNNNNNNNNNNNGGAGCUGAAGUCAGUCGAAGAUACCAGCUGGCUGCAACUGUUUAUUAAAAACACAGCACUGUGCAAACACGAAAGUGGACGUAUACGGUGUGACGCCUGCCCGGUGCCGGAAGGUUAAUUGAUGGGGUCAGCGCAAGCGAAGCUCCUGAUCGAAGCCCCGGUAAACGGCGGCCGUAACUAUAACGGUCCUAAGGUAGCGAAAUUCCUUGUCGGGUAAGUUCCGACCUGCACGAAUGGCGUAAUGAUGGCCAGGCUGUCUCCACCCGAGACUCAGUGAAAUUGAACUCGCUGUGAAGAUGCAGUGUACCCGCGGCAAGACGGAAAGACCCCGUGAACCUUUACUAUAGCUUGACACUGAACAUUGAGCCUUGAUGUGUAGGAUAGGUGGGAGGCUUUGAAGUGUGGACGCCAGUCUGCAUGGAGCCGACCUUGAAAUACCACCCUUUAAUGUUUGAUGUUCUAACGUGGACCCGUAAUCCGGGUUGCGGACAGUGUCUGGUGGGUAGUUUGACUGGGGCGGUCUCCUCCUAAAGAGUAACGGAGGAGCACGAAGGUUGGCUAAUCCUGGUCGGACAUCAGGAGGUUAGUGCAAUGGCAUAAGCCAGCUUGACUGCGAGCGUGACGGCGCGAGCAGGUGCGAAAGCAGGUCAUAGUGAUCCGGUGGUUCUGAAUGGAAGGGCCAUCGCUCAACGGAUAAAAGGUACUCCGGGGAUAACAGGCUGAUACCGCCCAAGAGUUCAUAUCGACGGCGGUGUUUGGCACCUCGAUGUCGGCUCAUCACAUCCUGGGGCUGAAGUAGGUCCCAAGGGUAUGGCUGUUCGCCAUUUAAAGUGGUACGCGAGCUGGGUUUAGAACGUCGUGAGACAGUUCGGUCCCUAUCUGCCGUGGGCGCUGGAGAACUGAGGGGGGCUGCUCCUAGUACGAGAGGACCGGAGUGGACGCAUCACUGGUGUUCGGGUUGUCAUGCCAAUGGCACUGCCCGGUAGCUAAAUGCGGAAGAGAUAAGUGCUGAAAGCAUCUAAGCACGAAACUUGCCCCGAGAUGAGUUCUCCCUGAGACUUAGAGUCUCCUGAAGGAACGUUGAAGACGACGACGUUGAUAGGCCGGGUGUGUAAGCGCAGCGAUGCGUUGAGCUAACCGGUACUAAUGAACCGUGAGGCUUAACCUU